This 18-nucleotide small nuclear RNA is filed under the name Arabidopsis thaliana (thale cress). Its description in RNAcentral is "snRNA_18178". Lineage: Eukaryota; Viridiplantae; Streptophyta; Magnoliopsida; Brassicales; Brassicaceae. The record is from RNAcentral.
CUCACCGGAGUGGUGGCA